AGAGAGGUUGGUCUGUCUCCAGACAUGCUGGAGCAGCUGCAGAGUGCCCACUGGAGCUCCCAGCUGGGACUGUAGCUACCACUGCGUGGGCAGGCAGAAGGUGCUGCCCUCCCACCCUCCAGCAAUCCCAUUUUGCUCUGUCCCAUCCACUCUCAGGCAUCAGAACGACCGUGCAAAGCUGCGGGGAGAGUUUCUGCGGGCAAGGCAGGGUCUCCAACCUUUGAGCACCUGCACGGAGCCUACCCAGCUGCAAGCUGUAAGCCUCUGCCAGUUCCUAAAGGCAAAUUUCAGCUGUGCUGAAAGCAAAACUCCCAAUGACCACAAACAAGCAGGAGGACAGCUGAGGCCUUUAUGAUACAAGCGCAAUAAUCAAGCCCCAGUUCACAAGAUACUGAGUGCUCCUGUUAUAGAGAUAAGCUGUGAUGAAAAACCGACGUGUUAAGACCCUCACCCAAAUAAUGAACCACCUUCCCAAUACAUGGGUUGCAGGUUUGGGGUACAUGGCCUGACCACUGUGUGCUCAGAAGCAGAUCCCACAAGGAUCGUAGCCUCUGUUGAACAUUCUCCACUCCCAUGAACUCAGCAAAUUUGAAUUGCAGUGCCUCGCCAGCUUAUAUCCAGUAUCUUCCUCUUGCUGUUCUUGUAGCCAAAGCCAGAGCUCCAGCCAUUCCCACUGGUGUGGGAGCGAGCUGAUAAUCAGUAAACAACGUCCUAGAGUUCAAACCAACACCAAGAGAACGGGCUUCCGAAGUGCAGAACAACCUUUGAUUGCUUUCUGGUGGUGGGAGAGGUCAGAGAGGAGCUCCUUACUCCGCUCGUAGCAAUCCCUUUCCAGCUGUGACAUUCUGGCAUGUUUGCAGAGGGUUAUUGAUGAGAAAACCAUGUCUUUUAUGGGACGGGGUGACUGACUAAGGCCUGUUCAACACUGUGAAAGUGUUAGUAACACUUAAUAAGAUGACUAAGCAGACUGCUCCAGGGCUUUUGUAAUUUAUUUGUUAUUAUUUGUUGCUCAGAGUGUGCUGAGGACUGUUAGUCCUGGAAUGAAACUCCCGUUCAGCCUGCAGAAAACGUGCACGAGUAGAGAGACUAGCCAGAGAGCAUGUGCAUUGUAGUGCUGUAAGAAUUAGGACGUGUGUGUCUUAGCUGGCAUUAUUAGACUAUCUUGGGUUUGCUAUUACUGUUCAUUAAAAAAUGAUUUCAGCUUUGCAAAAGCCUUGUGAUCUCUUUGAGGUGAGAGUGGACAAGGAGAAGAUUCAGCAGGGGUGACUCAGGCUGUUGUCACCCGCAGUCAUCCUGUGACCUUUCCUGGCUCACCCUCCUCUUCCCCAGCCUUGUGGAAAGGCCUUCUGUGGAACAUGCUCUGUGUCACAGCUCGGGAGAGAGGCCCUCAGCCUGGGGGAGAGGAAAGAAAAACUGUGAGGUGGUGGCAAUGCCUUGCCCUUUACCUCCCCUACCCCCGGUGAAGGCCCCUGGCUUGGGACAGCUAUAUGCCUUUACAGUGUAAUCUGUAAUCAGAGAUCAUAAUUAAAAACUGA
Molecule: long non-coding RNA, 1535 nt
Organism: Cygnus olor (mute swan)
Lineage: Eukaryota; Metazoa; Chordata; Aves; Anseriformes; Anatidae
Exons: 3
Source: RefSeq, a predicted model, not a curated record